Molecule: transfer RNA, 87 nt
Filed under: Chitinophaga caeni
Lineage: Bacteria; Pseudomonadati; Bacteroidota; Chitinophagia; Chitinophagales; Chitinophagaceae
Description: tRNA-Leu
Rfam family: tRNA
About the family: Transfer RNA (tRNA) molecules are approximately 80 nucleotides in length. Their secondary structure includes four short double-helical elements and three loops (D, anti-codon, and T loops).
Source: RNAcentral
GCCCAGAUGGCGGAACUGGUAGACGCGCUAGACUCAAAAUCUAGUUCUCGCAAGGGAGUGGGGGUUCGAUUCCCCCUUUGGGCACUA